AGUAUCAUGGGAUGAAACCUUGAAAGAAUCUGAGGAAACCUUUUGACAGAGUGCUUAUUUUCCUAUGAAUCAGAAGGCAUUUAUAUUCUGAUGCU
Molecule: non-coding RNA, 95 nt
Organism: Triticum aestivum (bread wheat)
Lineage: Eukaryota; Viridiplantae; Streptophyta; Magnoliopsida; Poales; Poaceae
Source: Rfam